This 430-nucleotide unclassified non-coding RNA is filed under the name soil metagenome. RNAcentral describes it as "partial contains 5.8S ribosomal RNA, internal transcribed spacer 2, and large subunit ribosomal RNA". The stretch from base 1 to 120 matches the Rfam family "5.8S ribosomal RNA", at positions 35 to 154 of the family's 154-position model. The record is from RNAcentral.
GAUGAAGAACGUAGCGAAAUGCGAUACGUGAUGUGAAUUGCAGAAUUCAGUGAAUCAUCGAAUCUUUGAACGCAUAUUGCGCUCUCUGGUAUUCCGGAGAGCAUGCUUGUUUGAGUAUCAGUAAACACCUCAACUCCCUUUUCUUUUUUGAAAUUGGAGCUGGACUUGAGUGAUCCCAACGCUUUCUUCCAAGAAAGUGGCGGGUUGCUUGAAAUGCAGGUGCAGCUGAACUUUUCUCUGAGCUAUAAGCAUAUCUAUUUAGUCUGCCUAAAAAACAGAUUAUUACCUUUGCUGCAGCUAACAUAAAGGAGACUAGUUCUUGUGCUGACUGAUGCAGGAUUCACAGAGACAGCUUCGGCUGACUUUGUAAACUCGAUCUCAAAUCAAGUAAGACUACCCGCUGAACUUAAGCAUAUCAAUAAGCGGAGGA